Molecule: ribosomal RNA, 607 nt
Filed under: Trichoderma sp. FPZSP372
Lineage: Eukaryota; Fungi; Ascomycota; Sordariomycetes; Hypocreales; Hypocreaceae
Description: eukaryotic LSU rRNA
Rfam family: 5.8S ribosomal RNA (bases 229-382)
Source: RNAcentral
CGUAGGUGAACCUGCGGAGGGAUCAUUACCGAGUUUACAACUCCCAAACCCAAUGUGAACGUUACCAAACUGUUGCCUCGGCGGGAUCUCUGCCCCGGGUGCGUCGCAGCCCCGGACCAAGGCGCCCGCCGGAGGACCAACCAAAACUCUUUUUGUAUACCCCCUCGCGGGUUUUUUAUAAUCUGAGCCUUCUCGGCGCCUCUCGUAGGCGUUUCGAAAAUGAAUCAAAACUUUCAACAACGGAUCUCUUGGUUCUGGCAUCGAUGAAGAACGCAGCGAAAUGCGAUAAGUAAUGUGAAUUGCAGAAUUCAGUGAAUCAUCGAAUCUUUGAACGCACAUUGCGCCCGCCAGUAUUCUGGCGGGCAUGCCUGUCCGAGCGUCAUUUCAACCCUCGAACCCCUCCGGGGGGUCGGCGUUGGGGAUCGGCCCUCCCUUAGCGGGUGGCCGUCUCCGAAAUACAGUGGCGGUCUCGCCGCAGCCUCUCCUGCGCAGUAGUUUGCACACUCGCAUCGGGAGCGCGGCGCGUCCACAGCCGUUAAACACCCAACUUCUGAAAUGUUGACCUCGGAUCAGGUAGGAAUACCCGCUGAACUUAAGCAUAUCAAUA